ACCGCCCCUGCCUCCGCCCCGCGCCCGCGCACACGAUCAGUCCCAGCUGGCUUCCGCGGAUUCCCGGACGCCGUUGCGCGAUUCCGCAGCCCGCCCGCCCGCCCCUCCAGCGCCGCAGCUAGGGAGCUCGCGGAUCUGCGACCGCGCUACCCAUACUCCGGAGCCGCCGUUCCCGUCCCAUCCGAUCCGCUUUGGGGUCGACGCUGCUCGGAUUCCACCUUCCCCGCCGUGCCCGGAGCGCCGCUCGGCUCGGCCUCGGGUCGAUAUCGCUAUCGCUGAGCCGUCGCCGUCGUCCCUGCCUCCUCCGAGCCGGAGUCGUCACCCUCUUCAACUGCAUCGGCGACGUCAACCGACAUGCACUGCCACCCCGCAUUGCGCCCGCCCUCAUACACGCCGCCGCCGUAUCCGGCGUCUCGCCCGCUUCGCGGCCAACGGCACCUCCGAGUCCGAGGGCUGCCAAUGUCCGCUCCGCCAAUCUACAACAAAAGGAUUUCAUGAUGACAUUCUCAUUCUCUCUUCGUCAGAUUAAUGCAUUUGUGGAUGGCAUUCUCUGAUUGUGAUGCCCUCAUGUGUAGGAUUUCGUGAUGCUUUGGCAUGGCAUCGGUGGUCAUAUGUUUCAGAUUAUGUUAUGAUACAUCCUAGCAUUACUGAUAAGUAUUUAAAUACAAGUAGCAGAUCAGAACAGGCAAAGUGGACUUAUGUGUUCUCGUUCCUCGGUUAAAUCUGAUUUAUGCGGCCAGCUAACAUAGUAGUACGUGUGGUUUGCUAUGGGAGAAAAGCCUGAGGGUAUGGGAGCAGCUGGCUUGGGACGUUUGCAGUUGUACGACACUAAGAAUAUGGAAGCAGCUUGUAUGAAUUGGUUGUGUAUGUUUGAACAAGAAAAAAAAAGGCAGGCAAGCUGUAUAUGUUUGAACAAGAAGAAAGGCACGCGGGAUGUAUGUUUGAACAAGAAGAAUGGCAGUCAAGUAAUUGCCUAUGAUCUGCUUGCUUUGAUGCAGUUGGGAAUCUGAUGCAUGUAUGUAUGCGUUGCAUGAGUUCUUUAGCAAGAGAGUGUAAUAACUAUCUUAAUUGAAAUUCCCAUUCUGGCGUAUCCGUGUGGGACUACACAUAUUGCAUGAUGGAGGAUUGUCAUGUCAAUUCUUCUCUUUUGGUGGUUUCCAGCAGGAUUUUAACUA
Molecule: long non-coding RNA, 1175 nt
Organism: Panicum virgatum (switchgrass)
Lineage: Eukaryota; Viridiplantae; Streptophyta; Magnoliopsida; Poales; Poaceae
Exons: 5
Source: RefSeq, a predicted model, not a curated record